RNAcentral lists this long non-coding RNA (8875 nucleotides) under Populus trichocarpa (black cottonwood). Its description in RNAcentral is "long non-coding RNA (PTRI_LNC002788)". Lineage: Eukaryota; Viridiplantae; Streptophyta; Magnoliopsida; Malpighiales; Salicaceae. The record is from RNAcentral.
CCCUUUCCGAUGCUGUUAAUCAAUUCAAGUAUGUUCAUUUUCUCCAAAGUUUCUAGCUUUUCUAUUAAUUUAUUUCGAAGUUAAUACCUGAAUCCCCCUCAAAACAAAGAAAAAAGAGACUCGAUUUUGGAUUCCGGAUCCAGAAAUCACAUGCAAGCUCUCAUAAGGAAAAAAGAAAAUCAUAUGCGUGAUGUUCAUGAAUGUAUGGAUGAGCUCACACGCAGGCAUCCACGCGGUGGUGCACCCAUAUAUCACUCCUCACAUAACGUAUCUGUCCAUAAAUCUUUAAAUGCACCCCCGACCAAUCUGUUUUCUCACAUUUCUGGUCUGUCUCUGCAGGUUAAUGCCAUUCCUUAUAUUAUCUGGACAGUUAUGUCCGCCAGGAAUUGAAGGAACACUAUUUGCCCUCUUUAUGUCAAUAAACAACUUAGGUUCCACACUGGGAUCUUUUGUGGGUGCUGGGUUGGCCUCAAUUUUGAACCUCUCCUCGGGAUCUUUUGACAACCUUGGUUUGGGCAUUGCUAUCCAAGUCCUGUGCACUUUCAUUCCAAUUGCUUUUCUAUUUUUGAUACCAAAAGAAGCCACAGGGAUAUCAGCAUAGGUAGGGAUAAUUCAUUUUCCCAAUACAAGAAGUCAUUCACUUAGCAACGGCAAAAUGAGCAGAAACAUUGCUACCGAAUUUAUUUCGUCACUGUCAAGUAGUAGCUGGGAUAUACGAAAUGCACUCUUGAGGAUUGAAAGAAAUAGGUGCCUUUGAUUUAUAGUUCUGAAAUUAACCUUUGGUUUUGAUGAUGAUACACUGAUGUACAAGGUUUGUAGAACAAUUUUGAUCAGUUCAGUCAGAAAUACAGAAAUUAUUACUGGUGCAAUGUUUAUGGUAAGCAAGGAUCAGGUUGCUAUUCCUGUGGUACCAGAAAAGUGCAAUUAGUGCUUUUGGUAGCGUUGUUGUUAUUGUUCUGAGAUAUAAAAGAUAAACGAUAGAACGAACAUGUUUUUCUGUUGGUUUUGUAAAGUAAAUUCACUUUAAAAUUGUGUCUUUCAUGUUUUUAUUUCUUUCUUUUUCAACUAAACAUGUUAUGUCUUUUCUGUAUUUAUUUAUUCCGUUGUUAUUGUUCUGAGAUAUGAAUUUUGAGGUAUUAUCAACACUCUGCAAGAAACAUGGUGGGAAACAAAUGGCUGACAUGGUGUUAGUAAACAUGGUGGGCUUGGAUUUUUAGCGCCGGAUCGCAAAUUAAUUGCAUGUCAAAAUGUUAUAUUAUAACACCCAUCCAUCUUAAAAAUGCAAAAAUAAAUGAGAGAAAUUUGGAUUUUGUUAUUUAUAAAGAAAUAAAAAAAACAUUAUCUUGUCAGUGGCGUUGGCUAUGUUCUUACUUUUUUUUUUCUUUUUUUUGCAUUAAAUGGUUAAUUUAGUUGGAAGCUAAUUUAAAUUUUUAAGGGUAUACGAGGGUCUAUUCUAGAAUUUGUUUGAGAAAAUAUUUAACCUCAGUUAUUCAUAAACUAAUCCGAAGACAUGUAGGAAUCCCGUAUAUAUGGAGGUUUAUUUAAUUAAAUUAAAAUUAAAUAAACUAAAAAACUAGAAUUGAAGGAGAAGUUCUUGUACCCAAGAGACAUUUCUGUAUUAAUUGGAUCAGUGAAAUGAUAAAACUUUUCUUAACUAAAAAAAAAAAACCCUUUAAUCUAUAUAUUGAGGAUAAGGUUGUUUUUUAAAUGACGUAAUUGUCUUUUAUAAAUUAAUUGUGUAAUAAAAUUAUUAAUUUAACACUAAAAUAAAAUAAUAUAACACCUACUACUCAUCAGGGGUGUUUUGGUUUUUUUUAAAUUUUAGAAUAGCCUAUUUACUUUUAUACCAUAAAAAACAUAUUUAACAUAACUCUACCAGAAUGUAUUUUUUAUCAUUUGACAUUAAUUUUUUUUUUGUAAAAUUAAAGGUUAUUCAAGUGUAUUAUUGUAAAUAAUAUAUACAAAAUAUUAUUUAAAAAAAUUUAUUGGCGCGUAUGGACUGCCCCUGCACCAUUUGGAAAGCGUAUGUGAGGCCGUCUGGCCACCAAACACCACCUUUCACGGUGGCAUUUUAAAGAUCCCGGCUUCCCCAACGUUAUGGGAUGUCGUGUGUCCUAAAUGCUUAUCGGGUUUGGCGCUGAUAAGCCCCCCACUCUCUCUCUCUCCACCUUGAAUUCUAUACUGGCCCCUUCAAAAUUCAGAUUAACCCCUACAAUUUAUUAUUUCCUUCAUAUUUUGUCCAUGUCCUUUUCAUUAUUAUUUUUUAUUUUGGAAUUAUCUAUAAAAUCAAAAAUAUUUUUCAAUUUCACUCCUACAAUUUUUAACAUUUAAAUAAUCAAUUAAAUUACAAAUAUUUUCAAUUUCACUCUCAUAAUUUUUUAAUCUUUCAAAUUUGGUUCUCAUUAUUUUGAUUGCUAUUUUUUUUGUUUGUGAUCAUUUUCUAAUUUUUUUUUUACAAUGUCAUCCUCAUUUUUUUUUUCCAGAAAGUUUUGAUUUAUCCUCAUUCUUUUCGUUGUUUAUCUUAUUUGCUUUUGCAAGUUUUUUUAUUAAUACUUUUUUUUAUGAUUUCAUCCUUCAAAAUUAUAUUGUUAGUUUUAGAGAAUCGACCAUGUUUUAGAAAAUUCACUCCGAGUCUGCUUGGUUUUUAGAUAUUCUUUUUGUUGCUAUUUUUUUUUGCUUUUAUAAUUUUUUUUAUUAAUAUCUUUUCACGAUUUCAUUAUUUAAAAUUAAAUUAGUUAGGAUCUAAACUUCUUGAUUAAACAUGAAUAUAAGAUUUUACGGGUUGCGAAUUUUACAGAUUAGAUCAAGUUUAAAAUGUUUGCUCCGAGUUUGCUUGGUUUAAUUCUCCAUUUUUUAAGAUGAUGUUUUCUUAUUUCUUAUCCCUUUUUUUAGUUGUGUUUUGUUAUUUUUUAUAGUUUGCUUUCAAUAAGGUUAGCUCCCCAUGUUUAUGACCAUGAUCACUAGUUGCAAAUGUUAAUGCAGUUUCACUUUUGUUUUUUUUUUUUUUUAAGUUGAUAAGUUUCAUCAUUCAAACUUUUUUUUUCUUUCUAUCAGAUUAUCCUAACUUAUACCCAUGGUUGCGAGCGAGUUCACCUGAUUUAAUAAAGCUUUUUUAAAAUUAUUUUUCUUAUAAUUUCAUCUUUCAACAUUAAAUUAAUUAAUAAUUCAAGUGGGAUUAAGUCUGAUUUUUUUUCAUUAAUAUUUUCUUAUUAGUUUAUUUAUUAUUGUUGUAUUUUUUUUUACUCAUAUCAUGUAAAUUACUAAUGCAUUGAAUUUUUCUACCCUAACAAUUUUUUUUUUAAAAAAGAACUGUCUGCACGCGAGAAUUACAAAUUGAAAUGGAUCCACACAAAUGGCAAGAGAUUAAAUGUAGAAAAUAAAAGGAGGGACCUCGUUGCAAAUAAAAAAAAAAUAGUAGGAGGGCGAUUAAACAAAAAGUUUCACGAGCGGAGGAAGCUACUCAAUUAUCAGAGCCUGGUUUCGAUCCAGGGACCUGUGGGUUAUGGGCCCACCACGCUUCCGCUGCGCCACUCUGAUUGUUGAAUACAUUUUGUAUCGAAACAUAUAUAAUGUAAUUUUCAGACAAAGUUCAGUUCCGAUCUUUAUUUCUCUUCUUCGGCUGUGUCUCUCUUUCCCUUCCCUGCACCAACACCAUAAAAAAAUUACUAGGAAAACAAUUCAAAACUUUGAUCAAAACCCACAAAAGAUAUCAAUCAAAGAAGCAGUCUUUAAUAAAAAAGGGAAUGAGAAGGAGACCUGGUAUUGGUGGGUUAAAAACAGCUGCUGCUGCAAGGGUAACUACUGUUUCUUCUGUUGGAUUAUUGAUUCAUCGGUUUCCAUUUGGUUAUUUAUUAAUGCUCAAUAUAAACAGUUUCCGAGUUUUUGCUUUUCAUUUCUUGAAAUGGUAUUGAAGGAUCAAUAUCGGAUACUUGGAGAAAAUGGAGCAAGAUUAAAAACUGAUCUUAUGAAAGAACAGCUUGCCACUUUUCGUUCUCAGCUUGAAGAAUUUGCCCGCUAACACAAGGUCAGCUGAUGAAUUUCUGUGUUAUAUCAACGAACUUUACCGUUUGGAGAUAAAAAGUUCGGAUUUUUAAUACUAAAGUUGUGAAUUUUAGAGGUGUUUAUUUCUGUUACGGUAAGAAAGAUGAGUUCCCGUGUGCUUCUUUGAUAUUUUUUUACUGGCCCAGUUGCUAAUUUUGUAAAACUUUAUCGGGUUUUUUUACUGGCCCGGUUGCUUCUUUGAUUUAUAGUUCUCAAAUUAACCUUUGGUUUUGAUGAUGAUACACUGAUGUACAAGGUUUGUAGAACAAUUUUGAUCAGUUCACUCAGAAAUACAGAAAUUAUUAAUGGUGCGGUGUUUAUGGAAAGCAAGGGCCAGGUUGCUAUCCCUGUGGUACCAGAAAAGUGCAGUUAGUGCCUUCGGGUAGCGUUGAUGUUUAGUUAUUCUCUUGAGAUAGAAAAGAUAAAGAUUGAAGGGAUAGAACAAACAUGUUUUUCUAUUGGUUUUGAAAAGGAAAUUCACUUUAAAAUUAUGCCUUUCAUGUUUUUAUUUCAUUCUUUUUCAACUAAAGAUGCUGUGUCUUUUCUGUAUAUAUUUAUUCUGUCAAAUGCAAUCUUAGAUAUGAAUUAUCUUGUCAGUGGCCCUGGCUAUGUUCUUACUUUUUUUUUCAUUAUUUUGUUUUUGUUGCAUUAAAUGGUUAAUUUAGUUGGAAGCUAAUUUUAAUUUUUUCUGAUGUACUAGAUUCAUACGAGGGUCUAUUCUAGAAUUUGUUUUAGAAAAUAUUUAACCUCAGUUAUUCAUAAACUAAUCUGAAGACAUGUAGGAAUCCCGUAUAUAUGGAGGUUUAUUGAAUUAAAUUAAAAUUAAAAAAACCUAAAAAACUAGAAGUGAAGGAGAAGUUCUUGUAUCCAGGAUUAGUGAAAUGAUAAAAUUUUCCUUGAUUAAAAAAAAAAUUUACAAAUUGUUUUUUAUAAAUUAUAAACGGUUAGAAUAGUGAUUUUAAUUUUUAUUGUGCAAUAAAAUUAUUAAUUUAACACUAGAAUAAAUUAAUAUAAUGUUUACUACCUGAGGAAAAGAUAGCAAUAAUAUUAAAAAUGAAGAGCAAAGCAUCUCUCAAAAGCCAUGAAAACCAACUGUGCAAGUCGGCUGUGCAAGCUAAAUUGCCUCUUGUCCUGUUUCCUGACUCUUUCCAAGCUGAUGACACACUAAGCUUAAAGGAAAAGCAGAGCAGGUUCUAAGCAUUAAAAGCAUCAAAAUGAUUCUUUGGGUGCGGCCGACAGCAUUAAGCCUAAAGGAAAAACAGGUGUGCAAGACUCAAAUUUGAGUUGCGUGAGUUUUGUAAAAGUGAAUCGAAUUCCAGUUGGAUGAAUUGGAGAUUUUGUUUUUCAAAAUUAGAAUAAAAAAUUUACCACUUUGUAAGCUUUGUAACCUGUUAAUUAUAAUAAAUACCGUUGAAAGCCGAAACAGAGGGAGAGAACGUAUAAAAUCAAGAAAGUGAAGAUUUGAUGAGAAUUAAAGACAUUUGUUUGUUUUUUGGUGUUCGAAAGAUGAUAGAAUGGGUAAAGCAGCUGAACAAGGCAUUUGGGGCUUCAUUUUUAUGGCUUAUUUGCUUGAUUCAUUUCACUCAGGUUUCUUUUUCUCUCUUUUUGCCCACUUUGAUUUGAUGAUCUUUCUCUUUUUUCCUGCUUUGAUGAUUGUUGGAUCAAAUUUGAUGAGCUCUAUAGGAAGUUGAUCUGUUGGGGUUUUUGUGAAAUCGGUUGUUUUAUUUUUUGAUAAAAAGAAAGAGGAGAUGUCAGAGUUUGUAACAUUGUUGUUUUUGGUUUCUGGGUUUUUGUGGGUUUGUUGAUUUUUGAAUAUUGUAGGGGCUUUGGAAAUCCAGAUGGAACUGAUGUUCUUAAGAAAUUUCUUGUCCUUUUUUAUUUUUUGAGAAUGUUGUAGCUUGCAUGGAAUUUUGAAGUUAGCCUUUUUUGCUUUUAAGAGCAACAUUUCUCCUGAUUUUUGCUCUUAAAGAAAAUAAAACAUAAAUUAAGGUAAUGGGAAUUUGGCUCUUUGGUUUGUGCUUCUUGCAUGUGAAGGGUUUCUUUUUUGGAAGAAAAAUAAGUACUUCUAACAUGUUGCUUAAAAUUUCUAAAUUGUCCAAAGCCUUUCUAUACCAAUUGGAUGAUCUACUCUUGCAUAAUAUGUGGUGUUCUAUUAAAAUGUUACGACCUAGUUCCUCUGGGGUCUUGUUAGGAUUUUGCAAGUAAUCUUCAAGUUGCUGAUGUUUUUAUUAUUGAACAAUUUGAUGUCCAACUUAACAACGGUGUUUCUAUAACAUGUGAGUGUAGGGUUUUAGAUCCUUUGUAUGGACAGCAGUUUCGUAUCAGCUAAAAGACAAUCUUAAGCUGUCACCAUCAGCCUCACAAUUCGUGUCUUCAAUAGCAUUUUUCCCGUGGAGCAUAAAGCCAUUAUACGGGUAUGUUUCUUUGUUCUGUUCAAUUUCUUGAUAGGCCUAUGGUGCAACUUAAAGAAUGAAGGCAGAUAAGAAAAAUUUUGGUGUUGAAAUGCUCUAGUUUAUAGUGAAAGAAUCUGUUGUGUUGUAGGACAUUGGUAAUUUCCUAACGGAGUAGCUGUUUUGGCACCUUCUUUAUAUUGCCUUUGUUAAUAGUAUGUGAAAACCAAAACAGGGAUUGUAUAUGCAUUACAAAUUACAAUGUAGUACUUAUUUGGCAUUUUCUUUACUGAUGGAAAUUGAAGAAUAGUGUCCUUUUUGUUAUACAUAAUUUUUGUGUAUGUUUUUGGAAACUUAACUUGCAUCCUGCUUGCAGAAUUUUGUCUGAUUGCAUCCCGAUAAAAGGAAGGAAAAGGAUACCAUACCUAGUAAUUGCAACUCUUCUCUCUCUAGUUCCCUGGCCUAUGCUAGGCAUAGAUUCCAACUUGAGGAGUUCCCAAUGGCAUCUCACAGUCCUCUUGACAGUGCAUAACCUGGGCUCUGCCAUGGCAGAUGUUGUGGUUGAUGCAAUGAUUGCUGAGGCAGUAAGAUCUGAGAGGUUUGUGCGUGCUGUCUUUUAAAGCAAAUCUAAGCACAUUUUCACUAAUUUGGUAGUUGAGUCUUUCAUCAUUUUUAGGUACACACAAUUUAGCUACAGAUGCUCUUAGUAUUUUGUUGGUUGACAAUGCAGGAAGCAAUUGGCAUGCAACCUAACUAUCUAUUGGUGUUAACUUGGGAUUUUAUUAUAAAAAAUGUGGAUGAGUGGGAGGCUUUCCCUGUCAAUUAUUAUAUGGGCAUACCUUUCCAUAUGCCCAAGAAAUCUGGAUGGUCUGCCAUUAUGUUGUUGGAUUGUUCUCUCAAAUAGGCAAUUUAGUUAAGUUUUUUUAGAAUGUGAAAGCUUACCUGUACCAUUGAACAGGGCAUCAUUUGCUGGAGAUCUGCAGUCCAUAACUUGGUUGUCAAUGGCUGUGGGUGGAAUUUGGGGCAGUUUGUUAGGAGGACAUGCAUUGACCAACUUACAAAUAGACAAGAUUUUCCUCCUUUUUUCUGUACUGCCAGCCAUACAGUUAUUAUCAUGUGGUUUGGUUGGGGAGAAUUCUGCAGACAGUAAAGUUUCUCAUGACUCUGCCAAUUCAAGCAACUCCCAUCCAGGGAAUGGGAAUGGUAAUAUUUUGGACCAAGAUAAUAUCUUGCUGAAGAAGUCCAGCGCAAGUGCUACAAGAAGAAAGAGGAGCCAAAAGAAUAGCAACAAGAGGGCAAGUAUGAGAACUAAAUCCCUGAUACCUGAGAAGGGCAAUUCCUUAAUAUCACGUUGGUUCCACUCUCUGAAAACAGCUACUUACAGUUUGUUACGUACUUUUAGGCAGCCAAUCAUUUUGAGGUAACGACCAAAACCUUUUAUAAUAGCCAGUUGAAUAUUCUGUAGAAUUUGAAGUUCAUGUGUAUGUACGCUCCUCCUCUAGAUUUAGCAUUGUUAGCCACCCAAAGAGAUGAUUGUUUUCACUUUGAUAUUAAAUAUAUGAUUGUCAAUGAUCCAUAAUAGACCACAGAAUGAAUGCUUGAUUUAUUUGAAUUUUGCCAGAUUUGUUUCCACCUAUUGUAGGUGUAUAUGCUGCUUAAUAUACCUACCCUGGUAUCAAUUUAGUUUAUUCUUCUAAUCUAUUUGAUUUUGGGUUUUACUUUGGUCUUUGGAAGACCAGACCAAUGGCUUGGUUUUUCCUAGCACAGAUUACUGUUCCAAACCUCUCAACAGUCAUGUUCUAUUACCAGACAGAGGUCUUGAACUUGGAUGGAUCCUUUUUGGGGACUGCACGUGUUGUUGGAUGGUUAGGCCUCAUGCUAGGAACCUUCACGUACAAUCGCUACUUAAAAACCAUGAAACUACGGAAGAUUCUCUUGUGAGUGCUUAACAGCGUUGAGUACAUUUUUCAACAAACAUGUUUAUUCUACUUAAUGUGCUUAAUAUUGCUUAUGCAGGUGGGCUCAUGUUGGGCUGUCUUUGUUGACCCUCCUAGAUGUAAUUUUAGUGUCUCGAUUGAAUCUUGCCUAUGGAGUUUCAGAUAAGAUCAUGGUUGUCUCAGGAUCUGCCCUUGCCGACGCUGUUAAUCAAUUCAAGCACGUUCAUUUUCUCCAAAGUUUCUAGCUUUUCUAUUAAUUUAUUUUGAAGUCAAUACCUGUAUCCCCCUCAAAACAAAGAAAAAGGAGACUCGAUUUUGGAUUCCGGAUCCAGAAAUCACAUGCAAGCUCUCAUAAGGAAAAAAGAAAAUCAUAUGCGUGAUGUUCAUGAAUGUAUGGAUGAGCUCACACAGACGCAUACACGCUCUCAUGCACCCAUAAGUCACUCCUCACAUAACCUAUCUGUCCAUAAAUCUUUAAAUGCACCCCCAACCAAUCUGUGUGCUCAC